RNAcentral lists this long non-coding RNA (583 nucleotides) under Pongo abelii (Sumatran orangutan). RNAcentral's name for it is "lncRNA (ENSPPYG00000036027.1)". The record is from RNAcentral. Lineage: Eukaryota; Metazoa; Chordata; Mammalia; Primates; Hominidae.
CUCAGUGUUCUACAGCAGUUACACACAGGCACUGGUAUCUGUGAGCAGCUCUGUGGACUCAAAGGUUUUCUCCCUGAGAGGCAUAACCCAGGCCAGCUGAUUCAUCAGAAUCAGGUCCCACUGUACUCAAGUCCUUUGGAAGAUGCCCACCCCUGCUUGAGACUUGAGACUCCAGAGACUCGAGCAGCUGUGGGCCACUGGGUCUGGCCCCUUUUUACCUGGGGGUGGCAGUGGAAUGGGGGUUACGCAGCCAGCCAGCAUCUGGGAGCCCGGCAGGAGUGGUUCAGGUGUUCUCCGAAGCUGUCAGGGACACCGAGCUGGGCUGCCAGAGGACAAGGGGCCUGAGCCUGUUGGAAUCUGCAGCGGCACUGAUCACUUUGGGAUUCUGCAGUCGGGCCAACCUCCUUUCCAGGGACAGAACUCCUCCCUGGCUCCCCUGCAGGUCCAGCCCGAGGUUGUUGUUAGGCCAGAGGUACGGGGCCCAUCUAGGGAGCCGGUGGGAAUGGAGACUGGGCUAGGUCAGGCCCCUGGGCUCUCAGCAGUUCUGUCGGCAAGUCAGCACAAGAGGAGCCGGGCAGUCUGA